RNAcentral lists this long non-coding RNA (224 nucleotides) under Sorghum bicolor (sorghum). Its description in RNAcentral is "long non-coding RNA (SBIC_LNC016088)". The record is from RNAcentral. Lineage: Eukaryota; Viridiplantae; Streptophyta; Magnoliopsida; Poales; Poaceae.
ACAAUUUCUGAGCCUAUGGUGCACUGGGCACAAACCAUGCAACUAUCUUGCACGAAAACUAAUACUAUCUCCAACUGGACCGAAGCGAGAUUCCAUAUGAUACACUUCAUCUAGUAGUUCCAUCGGGUUUGUCCAAAUUGAUUUUUGAGCAUAUGGUAUGUUCCAUGCAAACUGUGCACCUAUCUUGCAUCAAGAUUAGAACUAUCUCCAAACAGACAGAACCA